This is a non-coding RNA of Hypoxylon crocopeplum, 98 nucleotides long. NCBI's taxonomy places the organism in Eukaryota, Fungi, Ascomycota, Sordariomycetes, Xylariales, Hypoxylaceae. The record is from the annotation of a GenBank genome assembly.
GGGCUCAUGGCCUAAUGGUAAGGCGUCAGAUUUCGGUUCCUCCUCUCCAAGAAAUACCGGUCCUCUGAAAAUUGCAGGUUCGAUCCCUGCUGAGCUCG